Small nuclear RNA from Zingiber officinale, 158 nucleotides. RefSeq annotates it as U12 minor spliceosomal RNA. NCBI's taxonomy places the organism in Eukaryota, Viridiplantae, Streptophyta, Magnoliopsida, Zingiberales, Zingiberaceae. The record is from RefSeq and is a predicted model, not a curated record. The transcript has a single exon.
AGGCCUUAAACUAAUGAGUAAGGGGAAAAAAAGCGAGUGGUGGGAGAUGUUCGUUGCGCUCAUUAAUUUGCUAUGCGCACACAUUUAUGGAGGGCUAGUAGGCUGGUCGAGUGUUGACGCUGCUUACUUCGUAGAAUUCACUCGUGAAGGCCUAAUAU